GACGAACGCUGGCGGCGUGCUUAACACAUGCAAGUCGAACGGAAAGGCCCUGCUUUUGUGGGGUGCUCGAGUGGCGAACGGGUGAGUAACACGUGAGUAACCUGCCCUUGACUUUGGGAUAACUUCAGGAAACUGGGGCUAAUACCGGAUAGGAGCUCCUGCUGCAUGGUGGGGGUUGGAAAGUUUCGGCGGUUGGGGAUGGACUCGCGGCUUAUCAGCUUGUUGGUGGGGUAGUGGCUUACCAAGGCUUUGACGGGUAGCCGGCCUGAGAGGGUGACCGGCCACAUUGGGACUGGGAUACGGCCCAGACUCCUACGGGAGGCAGCAGUGGGGAAUAUUGCCCAAUGGGCGGAAGCCUGAUGCAGCAACGCCGCGUGCGGGAUGACGGCCUUCGGGUUGUAAACCGCUUUCGCCUGUGACGAAGCGUGAGUGACGGUAAUGGGUAAAGAAGCACCGGCUAACUACGUG
RNAcentral lists this ribosomal RNA (468 nucleotides) under uncultured bacterium. RNAcentral's name for it is "partial 16S ribosomal RNA". It matches the Rfam family "Bacterial small subunit ribosomal RNA", at positions 28 to 507 of the family's 1533-position model. The record is from RNAcentral.